GUUUUUAUAGUUUAUUAAAAAUAAUGAUCUUGUAAAUCAUAGAUGAUAAUUAUCUAAAAACU
This 62-nucleotide transfer RNA is filed under the name Urochela quadrinotata (four-spotted shield-bug). RNAcentral's name for it is "tRNA-Thr". The record is from RNAcentral. Lineage: Eukaryota; Metazoa; Arthropoda; Insecta; Hemiptera; Urostylididae.